Molecule: non-coding RNA, 768 nt
Organism: Caretta caretta (loggerhead turtle)
Lineage: Eukaryota; Metazoa; Chordata; Testudines; Cheloniidae
Source: RefSeq, a predicted model, not a curated record
AGAAACCACAAAUCGUGCCCCACCCCCCACUGACCUGUCCUGCUGGGUCCCUCUCGACUUUCAGAUCGGCCAGAGAGUCCGGAGCAGGGUGUGCGGGGAGCCAGGGCCAGGACCCCCGCCGCAGCUCGGCUUCGCUGCUGCUGAAUCGGACCCAGUCACAGAGAGGAGCCGACCCCAGCCCAGCGUCUCCAGCAGCGUGUGCGGCCUGAGCGUCGCUGAAAGAGACGAUGGGGCCAGCAGCUGGACCUGCUGGGAGCGAAGAGCAGCUGCAGGAGUGGCCUGUUGAGGGCCAUGGACACCUGGAGACUGGAGGGGAGCCAGAUCCUUGUCCUAACUACAAGAAAUGUACAAUUGUGCUCGCAGUCGCCCUUGCAAUCAUGUUCUUAGUUCUCAUCAUUGUCCUGGCAGUGUGGAGACCUAAGCUUCCGUCACCUGAACCGGGGCCCGUUGCUGGAUCGGAUACUGAGGGAAAUGCUACUAUUUCUCUGAGGCCGAAAGGAACUGGACCUGCAGCCUGACCCACUGCUCUGCGCUCAGCGCCUCCCUGGCUGAGAUCAACAGUGAGCAGGAAAUGGCUUUCGUGCUGUGCUAUAAAGGCAGAUUUGACCACUGGAUUGGCCUCCGGAGGGACCCUGGGCAGCUCUGGAAAUGGGCCAAUGGCACCGAAUUCAACAACCUAUCCAUUUGAGCUCCAUGGCACACGUCUCAGACAGAACCUGGCUGCCUUUUAUCCACCUGCAGCUGUUCCCAUCUGCAGAGCCUGAGAAG